UAGGGAAUAUUGCAAAAUGGGCGAAAGCCCGAUGCAGCAACGCCGCGUGGGCGAUGAAGGCCUUCGGGUCGUAAAGCCCUUUUUGAGGGGAUGAGGAAGGACAGUACCCUCAGAAUAAGCCUCGGCUAACUACGUGCCAGCAGCCGCGGUAAAACGUAGGAGGCGAGCGUUAUCCGGAUUUACUGGGCGUAAAGCGCGUGCAGGCGGAUUGGAGAGUUGGAUGUGAAAGCUCCCGGCUUAACUGGGAGAGGUCGUUCAAUACUUCCAAUCUUGAGUGCAGUAGAGGGAAGUGGAAUUCCGGGUGUAGUGGUGAAAUGCGUAGAUAUCCGGAGGAACACCAGUGGCGAAAGCGGCUUCCUGGACUGUAACUGACGCUCAGACGCGAAAGCUAGGGUAGCGAACG
Molecule: ribosomal RNA, 403 nt
Filed under: uncultured bacterium
Lineage: Bacteria
Description: bacterial SSU rRNA
Rfam family: Bacterial small subunit ribosomal RNA
Source: RNAcentral